GAUGAACGCUGGCGGCGUGCCUAAUACAUGCAAGUCGAGCGAACAGACGAGGAGCUUGCUCCUCUGACGUUAGCGGCGGACGGGUGAGUAACACGUGGAUAACCUACCUAUAAGACUGGGAUAACUUCGGGAAACCGGAGCUAAUACCGGAUAAUAUAUUGAACCGCAUGGUUCAAUAGUGAAAGACGGUUUUGCUGUCACUUAUAGAUGGAUCCGCGCCGCAUUAGCUAGUUGGUAAGGUAACGGCUUACCAAGGCAACGAUGCGUAGCCGACCUGAGAGGGUGAUCGGCCACACGGGAACUGAGACACGGUCCAGACUCCUACGGGAGGCAGCAGUAGGGAAUCUGCCGCAAUGGGCGAAAGCCUGACGGAGCAACGCCGCGUGAGUGAUGAAGGUCUUCGGAUCGUAAAACUCUGUUAUUAGGGAAGAACAAAUGUGUAAGUAACUAUGCACGGCUUGACGGUACCUAAUCAGAAAGCCACGGCUAACUACGUG
RNAcentral lists this ribosomal RNA (497 nucleotides) under uncultured bacterium. RNAcentral's name for it is "partial 16S ribosomal RNA". It matches the Rfam family "Bacterial small subunit ribosomal RNA", at positions 28 to 507 of the family's 1533-position model. The record is from RNAcentral.